CUCUCUCUCUCUCUCUCUCUCUCUCUCUCUCUCUCUCCCCUCCUACAUAGAGGCCAAAUUCAAAACUAUCUCCCAUCCAGUAGGUAUUUGCCACAUGAAAAGCAGAACAUUAUCACAUUCAACGUAAUAUGUAGGUUUCCGGCUGUCUCACUACCUUUUUGCAUUGCAGGUGUAAGAGCCACAGCCGCUGCCCAUAGCACCGUGAUAGCUGUUGACAAGAAGAAAAACCAACUCAGCUCAAUUAAGCUUUUACUAAUCAGAUUUGGCAAAUGAUUUCUUUUAUGUUAUUUUAUUUUGAUUUUCCUAACAGAUAUCCAAAUUUUACCAGUCGAAGAGAGUCUUGGCUGCUGAAAAAUUAGGGUGAAUGAAUUUUGUAUAGUUCGUGCUGUUUUCAUAAUCCAUCUGCAAAAAAAAAAGAUUAUUUAGACUUGAGACUCUGGACUUGUCUUCUAACAAGUUUUUUGUUUUUUUUGUUUUUUUUGUUUUUGGCCAAUUGUUGGGAGGGGGAUGGGGGAUAUCAGUUAAAUAGGUUCUCUACAAAUUUUUGCCAAUAUUAAGCGUCGAAUUUGGGUGCCAAUUUGGCGGGGAGGGGGGAAAAUUGC
This 602-nucleotide long non-coding RNA is filed under the name Prunus persica (peach). Its description in RNAcentral is "long non-coding RNA (PPER_LNC006622)". Lineage: Eukaryota; Viridiplantae; Streptophyta; Magnoliopsida; Rosales; Rosaceae. The record is from RNAcentral.